This 309-nucleotide ribosomal RNA is filed under the name uncultured Flavobacterium sp. Its description in RNAcentral is "bacterial SSU rRNA". It matches the Rfam family "Bacterial small subunit ribosomal RNA", at positions 505 to 816 of the family's 1533-position model. Lineage: Bacteria; Pseudomonadati; Bacteroidota; Flavobacteriia; Flavobacteriales; Flavobacteriaceae. The record is from RNAcentral.
GUGCCAGCCGCAGCGGUAAUACGGAGGAUCCAAGCGUUAUCCGGAAUCAUUGGGUUUAAAGGGUCCGUAGGCGGCUUUAUAAGUCAGUGGUGAAAUCCGGCAGCUCAACUGUCGAACUGCCUCUGAUACUGUAGAGCUUGAAUUACUGUGAAGUAACUAGAAUAUGUAGUGUAGCGGUGAAAUGCUUAGAUAUUACAUGGAAUACCAAUUGCGAAGGCAGGUUACUAACAUUAUAUUGACGCUGAUGGACGAAAGCGUGGGAGCGAACAGGAUAGAUACCCUGGUAGUCCACGCCGUAACGAUGGAUAC